UGCAAGUCGAACGCAGUAGCAAUACUGAGUGGCAAACGGGUGAGUAUAAUGUGGGUAUCUGCCUUUUGGUUUGGAAUAACAUGAGGAAACUUAUGCUAAUACCGAAUAAGCCUUCACAGGGAAAGUUUUAACGCCGAAAGAUGAGCCCGCACUUGAUUAGUUUGUUGGUGAGGUAAUGGCUCACCAAGACAAUUAUCAAUAGCUGGUCUGAGAGGACGAUCAGCCACAUUGGGACUGAGACACGGCCCAGACUCCUACGGGAGGCAGCAGUAAGGAAUCUUGCACAAUGGGGGAAACCCUGAUGCAGCGAUGCCGCGUGAGUGAAGAAGGCCCUUGGGUUGUAAAACUCUUUCGUCGGGGAAGAAAAUGACUGUACCCGAAUAAGAAGGUCCGGCUAACUUCGUGCCAGCAGCCGCGGUAAUACGAAGGGACCUAGCGUAGUUCGGAAUUACUGGGCUUAAAGAGCUCGUAGGUGGUUAAAAUAGUUGAUGGUGAAAUCCCAAGGCUCAACCUUGGAACUGCC
RNAcentral lists this ribosomal RNA (523 nucleotides) under uncultured marine bacterium. Its description in RNAcentral is "bacterial SSU rRNA". It matches the Rfam family "Bacterial small subunit ribosomal RNA", at positions 56 to 625 of the family's 1533-position model. The record is from RNAcentral.